Molecule: ribosomal RNA, 515 nt
Filed under: uncultured Humicola
Lineage: Eukaryota; Fungi; Ascomycota
Description: eukaryotic LSU rRNA
Rfam family: 5.8S ribosomal RNA (bases 185-338)
Source: RNAcentral
CAGCGGAGGGAUCAUUACAGAGUUGCAAACUCCCUAAACCAUUGUGAACGUUACCUAAACCGUUGCUUCGGCGGGCGGCCCGGGUCCUUCCCGGCGCCCAUCGGCCCUCGCGGGCGCCCGCCGGAGGUAAACCAAACUAUUGCAUUGUAUGGCCUCUCUGAGUCUUCUGUACUGAAUAAGUCAAAACUUUCAACAACGGAUCUCUUGGUUCUGGCAUCGAUGAAGAACGCAGCGAAAUGCGAUAAGUAAUGUGAAUUGCAGAAUUCAGUGAAUCAUCGAAUCUUUGAACGCACAUUGCGCACGCCAGUAUUCUGGCGGGCAUGCCUGUUCGAGCGUCAUUUCAACCAUCAAGCCCCGGGCUUGUGUUGGGGACCUGCGGCUGCCGCAGGCCCUGAAAUGCAGUGGCGGGCUCGCUGUCAUUCCGAGCGUAGUAGUUACAUCUCGCUCUGGGCGUGCUGCGGGUUCCGGCCGUUAAAAGCCUUAUUUACCCAAGGUUGACCUCGGAUCAGGUAGGA